RNAcentral lists this ribosomal RNA (394 nucleotides) under uncultured bacterium. RNAcentral describes it as "partial 16S ribosomal RNA". It matches the Rfam family "Bacterial small subunit ribosomal RNA", at positions 338 to 729 of the family's 1533-position model. The record is from RNAcentral.
CCUACGGGAUGCUGCAGUGAGGAAUAUUGGUCAAUGGACGAGAGUCUGAACCAGCCAAGUAGCGUGAAGGAUGAAUGCCCUAUGGGUUGUAAACUUCUUUUAUAUGGGAAUAAAAUGUUGCACGUGUGCGGUUUUGUAUGUACCAUAUGAAUAAGGAUCGGCUAACUCCGUGCCAGCAGCCGCGGUAAUACGGAGGAUCCGAGCGUUAUCCGGAUUUAUUGGGUUUAAAGGGUGCGUAGGUGGACUGUUAAGUCAGUUGUGAAAGUGUGCGGCUCAACCGUAAAAUUGCAGUUGAAACUGGGAGGCUUGAGUACAGUAGAGGCGGGCGGAAUGCGUGGUGUAGCGGUGAAAUGCUUAGAUAUCACGAAGAACUCCGAUUGCGAAGGCAGUUCAC